AUAAGAGUGAACCCGUCUCUGUGGCAAAAGGGUGGGAAGACCUUGCAGUAGUGGUGAAAAGCCAAACGAGCCUAGUGAUAGCUGGUUGCUCAACAAACGAAUCUCAGUUCGACUUUAGGUUUGCCCCUUAUACUAAAACCCUACUUUAACCUAAAAGCUACUCAACGGGGGUACAGCCCCAUUGAGAAGGGAUACAACCCAAAUUAGAGAGAAAGAAACAUCACCCACCCCAGUAGGCCUUAAAGCCGCCACCAAUAACAAAAGCGUCAUAGCACUAAACAACAAAUACCAAAAGAUCAGCCAAACUCCUGAUUAAACAUUGAGCCAGACUAUAACUAUAGACGAACUUAUGCUAAAACUAGUAACAAGAAACCCUUCUCUCGGCAUCCCUGUAACCCAGAAAUAGAAAAACUACUGGACUUUAACAGACCAAAACAGGUAUAACACAAUCUGUACCACUCACUGUUAAACCGACACCGGAGUGCCACCAAGACAGAUUAAAAGUUAUUUAAGGAACUCAGCAAAACUUGUCCCAACUGUUUACCAAAAACAUAGCCUUUAGCUAUACAAGUAUUAAAGGUCCCGCCUGCCCAGUG
This 596-nucleotide ribosomal RNA is filed under the name Trachylepis nancycoutuae. Its description in RNAcentral is "partial 16S ribosomal RNA". It matches the Rfam family "Bacterial large subunit ribosomal RNA", at positions 768 to 1868 of the family's 2925-position model. Lineage: Eukaryota; Metazoa; Chordata; Lepidosauria; Squamata; Scincidae. The record is from RNAcentral.